ACCGCGGUAGCCCAGUUGGUUAGGGCGUCGGCAGUGCAAUACUGAUGCCGAAGGUCGCAGGUUCAAAUCCUGCCUGCGGUG
Phthorimaea operculella (potato tuberworm) is the source of this 81-nucleotide non-coding RNA. Lineage: Eukaryota; Metazoa; Arthropoda; Insecta; Lepidoptera; Gelechiidae. The record is from the annotation of a GenBank genome assembly.